Molecule: ribosomal RNA, 441 nt
Filed under: uncultured bacterium
Lineage: Bacteria
Description: partial 16S ribosomal RNA
Rfam family: Bacterial small subunit ribosomal RNA
Source: RNAcentral
CUACGGGCGGCACCAGUCGAGAAUCAUCCGCAAUGGGCGAAAGCCUGACGGUGCAAUGCCGCGUGGGGGAUGAAGGCCCUCGGGUCGUAAACCCCUGUCAGGAGGGACGAAGAAGUGACGGUACCUCCAGAGGAAGCCACGGCUAACUACGUGCCAGCAGCCGCGGUAAUACGUAGGUGGCGAGCGUUAUUCGGAUUUACUGGGCGUAAAGGGUCCGCAGGGGGUUUGCCAAGUCUGGUGUGAAAUCUCACAGCUCAACUGUGAAACUGCGCUGGAUACUGGUGAACUAGAGUGCGCGAGGGGUGAGUGGAAUUCCUGGUGUAGCGGUAGAAUGCGUAGAUAUCAGGGAGAACACCAACGGCGAAGGCAGCUCACUGGCGCGCAACUGACCCUCAUGGACGAAAGCGUGGGUAGCAAACAGGAUUAGAUACCCCCGUAGUC